GGCGGAUGAGCCAAGNGGAUAAAGGCGGG
This 29-nucleotide transfer RNA is filed under the name Passiflora tenuifila. RNAcentral's name for it is "partial tRNA-His". Lineage: Eukaryota; Viridiplantae; Streptophyta; Magnoliopsida; Malpighiales; Passifloraceae. The record is from RNAcentral.